RNAcentral lists this ribosomal RNA (497 nucleotides) under uncultured bacterium. RNAcentral describes it as "partial 16S ribosomal RNA". It matches the Rfam family "Bacterial small subunit ribosomal RNA", at positions 28 to 507 of the family's 1533-position model. The record is from RNAcentral.
GAUGAACGCUGGCGGCGUGCCUAAUACAUGCAAGUCGAGCGAACGGACGAGGAGCUUGCUCCUUUGACGUUAGCGGCGGACGGGUGAGUAACACGUGGAUAACCUACCUAUAAGACUGGGAUAACUUCGGGAAACCGGAGCUAAUACCGGAUAAUAUAUUGAACCGCAUGGUUCAAUAGUGAAAGACGGUUUUGCUGUCACUUAUAGAUGGAUCCGCGCCGCAUUAGCUAGUUGGUAAGGUAACGGCUUACCAAGGCAACGAUGCGUAGCCGACCGGAGAGGGUGAUCGGCCACACUGGAACUGAGACACGGUCCAGACUCCUACGGGAGGCAGCAGUAGGGAAUCUUCCGCAAUGGGCGAAAGCCUGACGGAGCAACGCCGCGUGAGUGAUGAAGGUCUUCGGAUCGUAAAACUCUGUUAUUAGGGAAGAACAAAUGUGUAAGUAACUAUGCACGUCUUGACGGUACCUAAUCAGAAAGCCACGGCUAACUACGUG